CCCUUAGAUGUCCUGGGCUGCACGCGCGCUACACUGGAAGUUACGGAUUGAGAUACUACCUUGUCCGAAAUGGUCCGGGUAAUCACCUAAAAGCUUGUCAUAAUUGGAACGGAUUAUUGUAACUAGUAAUCCUGAACGAGGAAUUCCUAGUAAGUCCCAGUCAACAGCUGGUACUGAUUACGUCCCUGCCCUUUGUACACACCGCCCGUCGCUACUACUGAUUGGACGUUUAAGCAAGAUUUUUAAACACUGACAGUGUGUAGUUCACGCUAUACUACAGUGAGAAGAAGAAGAUCGAGCUUACUUGUCUAGAGGAAGUAAAAGUCGUAACA
This 332-nucleotide ribosomal RNA is filed under the name uncultured eukaryote. RNAcentral describes it as "partial 18S ribosomal RNA". It matches the Rfam family "Eukaryotic small subunit ribosomal RNA", at positions 1470 to 1796 of the family's 1831-position model. The record is from RNAcentral.